Molecule: long non-coding RNA, 178 nt
Organism: Hylaeus anthracinus
Lineage: Eukaryota; Metazoa; Arthropoda; Insecta; Hymenoptera; Colletidae
Exons: 2
Source: RefSeq, a predicted model, not a curated record
UUUGUUCCAUGACCAUAUCUUCGUGAGCUACGUUUUGAUAUUCAUAAGGAAACUGAUUUUCCGUAGGUGUUCGAGAAAAUGUAUAAAACUGAUCUUGCUUUGGGAAAGGUAUUCUAUGAAUGAGAAAUUAAAUGUUUUUUGUAAUAAAAAUAUUACUAUAUAUUGUUGUUUUAAUGUC